CAUUCAGUUGGGCACUCUAAGCGAGACUGCCGUAAUAACCGGAGGAAAGGUGGGGGAAUGACGUCAAAUCAUCAUGCCCCUUAUGACCUGGGCUACACACGUGCUACAAUGGGCGGUACAAAGGGUCGCGAACCCGCGAGGGGGAGCCAAUCCCAAAAAGCCGCUCUCAGUUCGGAUUGCAGGCUGCAACUCGCCUGCAUGAAGCCGGAAUCGCUAGUAAUCGCGGAUCAGCACGCCGCGGUCGAAUACGUUCCCGGGCCUU
This 262-nucleotide ribosomal RNA is filed under the name uncultured Anoxybacillus sp. RNAcentral's name for it is "partial 16S ribosomal RNA". It matches the Rfam family "Bacterial small subunit ribosomal RNA", at positions 1122 to 1382 of the family's 1533-position model. Lineage: Bacteria; Bacillati; Bacillota; Bacilli; Caryophanales; Anoxybacillaceae. The record is from RNAcentral.